AACGAACGCUGGCGGCAUGCCUAACACAUGCAAGUCGAACGAGACCUUCGGGUCUAGUGGCGCACGGGUGCGUAACGCGUGGGAACCUGCCCUUAGGUUCGGAAUAACUCCCCGAAAGGGGUGCUAAUACCGGAUAAUGUCUUCGGACCAAAGAUUUAUCGCCUUUGGAUGGGCCCGCGUUGGAUUAGCUAGUUGGUAGGGUAAAAGCCUACCAAGGCGACGAUCCAUAGCUGGUCUGAGAGGAUGAUCGGCCACACUGGGACUGAGACACGGCCCAGACUCCUACGGGAGGCAGCAGUGGGGAAUAUUGGACAAUGGGCGAAAGCCUGAUCCAGCAAUGCCGCGUGAGUGAUGAAGGCCUUAGGGUUGUGAAGCUCUUUUACCCGGGAUGAUAAUGACAGUACCGGGAGAAUAAGCUCCGGCUAACUCCGUG
This 433-nucleotide ribosomal RNA is filed under the name uncultured bacterium. RNAcentral describes it as "partial 16S ribosomal RNA". It matches the Rfam family "Bacterial small subunit ribosomal RNA", at positions 29 to 507 of the family's 1533-position model. The record is from RNAcentral.